Molecule: ribosomal RNA, 253 nt
Filed under: uncultured bacterium
Lineage: Bacteria
Description: partial 16S ribosomal RNA
Rfam family: Bacterial small subunit ribosomal RNA
Source: RNAcentral
UACAGGGGGUGCAAGCGUUAAUCGGAAUUACUGGGCGUAAAGCGCGCGUAGGCGGUUUGGUCAGUCAGAUGUGAAAGCCCUGGGCUCAACCUGGGAACUGCAUUUGAUACUGCUGAACUAGAGUGUGGUAGAGGUAAGUGGAAUUCCAGGUGUAGCGGUGAAAUGCGUAGAGAUCUGGAGGAACAUCAGUGGCGAAGGCGGCUCACUGGCUCGAUACUGACGCUGAGGUGCGAAAGUGUGGGGAGCAAACAGG